UCUCGGCAAUUUGAAGAUUCCUCCAGUUCUCCCUGAGCCAACUCAGCAGCAGGCGUGAGUUGGCCUUUAACAUGCCCCUGCCUCCUGCCCCUUGUAUUUCCUGCAGAGGCCUUGCUGACUUGGAGCAUCGCAGGGUCUGUCACCAAGGAAACCUGGGCCUCAAUCCUAGCCACAUCUGCCCACCAUGUGCACCCUAAAUGAAGGAGCUGGUCCAUCCUGGUGACCAGCUAGCCCAGUGUGUCCUCGUGCAAGCAGCAAGAUUCCACAGCCACAGCCAUUAAAGGCUCCUCCAAGUUUCUUCUCAGAUUCACUCUCCUUGAUUCCAUUCACCAAAACAAGUCACAUGGCCAAGGCUACAGCCAGUGCCCGAGAGACACUGCCAAGGUACUGGAGCACCAGGAAGCAGAAAUCACUGGGGCUCUCGUUGCUGCCAUUUACCACACACUGCCCUCAGCAGAUUGAAAGAAGAUCUCCAUAGCAACCAGCCACCGACCACGCCUGAGGCCCAGAGAGUAGCCACGGUGCUUCACGGGGGGGGGGGGGGGCUGCUUGACCUCUUUCUACCCGGGACCUGGAACUACACUGAAUCCUUUUGGGGCUUGGGUGCAUCAUCCAGAGAGAAGGGAGAGGGGUGGGACAUCCUUCAAUGGUCAGACAUGAGAUCUGGACAGAGGAAUUAAGUUGGAGUAUUA
Molecule: long non-coding RNA, 692 nt
Organism: Perognathus longimembris pacificus (Pacific pocket mouse)
Lineage: Eukaryota; Metazoa; Chordata; Mammalia; Rodentia; Heteromyidae
Exons: 2
Source: RefSeq, a predicted model, not a curated record